GAUGAACGCUGGCGGCGUGCUUAACACAUGCAAGUCGAGCGAAGCAGUUAAGUUGAUUUCUUCGGAUUGAUUCUUAAUUGACUGAGCGGCGGACGGGUGAGUAACGCGUGGGUGACCUGCCCCAUACCGGGGGAUAACAGCUGGAAACGGCUGCUAAUACCGCAUAAGCGCACAGAGCUGCAUGGCUCAGUGUGAAAAACUCCGGUGGUAUGGGAUGGGCCCGCGUCUGAUUAGGCAGUUGGCGGGGUAACGGCCCACCAAACCGACGAUCAGUAGCCGGCCUGAGAGGGCGACCGGCCACAUUGGGACUGAGACACGGCCCAAACUCCUACGGGAGGCAGCAGUGGGGAAUAUUGCACAAUGGGGGAAACCCUGAUGCAGCGACGCCGCGUGAGCGAAGAAGUAUUUCGGUAUGUAAAGCUCUAUCAGCAGGGAAGAUAAUGACGGUACCUGACUAAGAAGCCCCGGCUA
This 471-nucleotide ribosomal RNA is filed under the name uncultured bacterium. Its description in RNAcentral is "bacterial SSU rRNA". It matches the Rfam family "Bacterial small subunit ribosomal RNA", at positions 28 to 499 of the family's 1533-position model. The record is from RNAcentral.